This is a long non-coding RNA of Equus caballus (horse), 2204 nucleotides long. The record is from Ensembl. Lineage: Eukaryota; Metazoa; Chordata; Mammalia; Perissodactyla; Equidae.
CAGAAAGUUUUCUUCUCUACCACUGACCAAUUUACCCCUACUGGUCCUUAUGGCCUUGGGAGACCUUGGACUCCUUCAAUCCUCAUUCUCUUAAUUUGCCAGACUACUGAUCUGAUAAUUCAAAGUCAGAUUUCUCAUUGUCCUUUUUGUCUUCUGGCUUUUUAAAUUUCUCCAAACUAGGGAUUGCACUUGAAUCAUUGUCUCUGGGUCUAAAUCUAUGGAAACCCACAAGAAGAGAUUCGGUACCAAAACUGGACAUAAAUUCUCAGGAGAAGGUUGUGAGUUGGAUCCUAGGCUGGCCAGAUCACAAGGACUAUUAUGCUGCUGCAGAGCCCUCGUUUGUCUCAGGUAACCGUCUCUCCAUAAUAGCACCUUGUGCAUCAGAGGAAGCCGAGCCACCACCAGCUCCAGACGAGGGCCUAGUAUUUUUCAAGUCCACUUGUCUGAGCUUCGCUGGUGAGAACAAGUAGCAUCGAGAAGCAGCAAUGGAGCCCACAGAACAGACUUCAGAGGAUGCCCACCUGGGUCAGCAGAACUGACUUCUUCUUCAGCACUUCAUACAUUUCCACAUUUUGGGGAAGUCUAAGAGGAAGGUGAAAUGCUAAGAGAGUUGUAAUAGAAUUUCAGCUCUUCUGGCCCAUUAGAGGCAGCUUCAAUUACAGAAAUAAAAUAAAGGGCAUGCGAUCUUAUUAAAAUGUGACUUUUAUGGAGCAGACCAUUUAUAAUGAUAUAUUUUUCUCAAUGUGUUUUAUCACAAGUUCACUUUAUUCAAAUGUCCACAAUUUGUAGGCUUAGAUAUCCAAAAAGAAACAUAUCUAUUUAUUACAAACUACUCCAAAAUGAGUCCAGAAGCCUCAGUUCUUAGAAAGCGGCCAAGUCAUUAAACAUAAAAGACUGUUUCUUGUAAAAGUGUCUGCUUUUUGUCAUAUCUGUUUAUACUUCUCUGCUACUGGUUUUCAAAAAGAGAAAAAUUGACAUCGUAAAUAAUUUCCUGUUCUUUGAGCUAGAACAGUCCUUAAAAGCUCGUCUGCUACAAUCACUUGCUUUAGCCCGUCUGGUAAACAAACAUCUACUGAGGCUCUGCAAGGUCCUGAGCACCCUGCUAAGCUAUAGGAAUACAGAAGAGAAGAAAUUUUAGCUUGAAAAAUAGUUUAUUAUCCCAUUUAAUUGGUUAGGAAACUGAGGCUUCAAUAAAUUAAGUGACUUGACUGAGUCUGGGAGGCACAAAGAAUUGAGUAGGGACUAGAACCCAGUUCUUGUUCAUAUUGCUAAGCAACUGUUAAUACACUAACCUAUUUUGCAAAUGAAAUCUUAAGAUAACUUCAGUAUUUCAUUCAAUGAUUUUGAUAUUACCUAAUACUUUUUAUUGAUUAUACUGAAUUAACACCUAUAUAUAAAAGAAAAAUGUUGUCUUAGUAAGCUUUUAAAAUUUCUCUUAAAGUCAAAAGGACAGUGUACAUAUCUAUGCAUUUACAUUAUACAUCGUAUAUAUGUUCAUAUGUGUGUGUGUAUAUCUCUAGAUAUGUAAAUGUGUGUGUGUCUACACCCACAUGUUCCAACACAUAUACCCUACGAUAUAGUAGAGUGAAAUUUCAGGAGACUAUUCAAAGACCUUCUUGUUCUACAAUUCUACAUGGGUGAUAAAUGGUUGAAAUGCUAUCAAACCACAGGUAUGCAGGAGCAUUUACCACAAACAGCUACUAAAUGAGACAGAAGAAUUGUUAUGGACACUGGGAAAGUAGCACACUAAUAAAUAUUGUACAUUAAACCCCUAAAAGGUAAUGAAGCUAGACAUUGCCUGUUAUUCUCUUCAGGGAAGAUUCAAGUUGGAAACAACUACCUUAUCAUUUAAAUGUCUUGUGCUGAACAUUCCAAACCAUAGGCAAUAUCCAGCAGUGAGAUCAUUCUUAGGCAAUAAAAAUCAUUUGAAUACAAUUACUUAAGCAACUGAGCAUCUGUGCCUUCAUCUAAAUGACCAAAUGCUCAAAAUUGAGAAGAGGAGCCAAGAUGCUUUUUCUUAAAAAGAAGCAAAACCUGGACAAAAACCACAACACAGUAUUUAGACACAGAAAACUGGCUUGUUACUUUUAUGUUCCUUGAAAGUAUUUUUUUUCCCACCUCGUCUAUAUCUCUGUUUUUUGAUACUAAGAUGAUUUGCUAUUUUAGAGCUAUUUUUAUCUCAAUAAAACAAUUUCCAAUAUGAU